Molecule: non-coding RNA, 240 nt
Organism: Pelobates cultripes (western spadefoot toad)
Lineage: Eukaryota; Metazoa; Chordata; Amphibia; Anura; Pelobatidae
Source: the annotation of a GenBank genome assembly
UGAGUGCUGUGUAUGAUGUGUGAGAGUGCUGAGUGUGAGAGUGCUGAGUGUGAGAGUGCUGUGUAUGAUGUGUGUGAGAGUGCAGAGUGUGAUGUGUGUGAGAGUGCUGUGUAUGAUGUGUGUGAGAGUGCAGAGUGUGAUGUGUGUGAGAGUGCUGUGUAUGAUGUGUGUGAGUGCUGUGUAUGAUGUGUGUGAGAGUGCUGUGUGUGAGAGUGCUGUGUGUGAGAGUGCUGUGUGUGA